RNAcentral lists this ribosomal RNA (497 nucleotides) under uncultured bacterium. RNAcentral's name for it is "partial 16S ribosomal RNA". It matches the Rfam family "Bacterial small subunit ribosomal RNA", at positions 28 to 507 of the family's 1533-position model. The record is from RNAcentral.
GAUGAACGCUGGCGGCGUGCCUAAUACAUGCAAGUCGAGCGAACAGACGAGGAGCUUGCUCCUCUGACGUUAGCGGCGGACGGGUGAGUAACACGUGGAUAACCUACCUAUAAGACUGGGAUAACUUCGGGAAACCGGAGCUAAUACCGGAUAACAUGUUGAACCGCAUGGUUCAACAGUGAAAGACGGUCUUGCUGUCACUUAUAGAUGGAUCCGCGCCGCAUUAGCUAGUUGGUAAGGUAACGGCUUACCCAGGCAACGAUGCGUAGCCGACCUGAGAGGGUGAUCGACCACCCUGGAACUGAGACACGGUCCAGACUCCUACGGGAGGCAGCGGUAGGGAAUCUUCCGCAAUGGGCGAAAGCCUGACGGAGCAACGCCGCGUGAAUGAUGAAGGUCUUCGGAUCGUAGAGCUCUGUUAUUAGGGAAGAACAAAUGUGUAAGUAACUAUGCACGUCUUGACGGUACCUAAUCAGAAAGCCACGGCUAACUACGUG